GAAAGUAAAAAAGGGCGCAUGGCGGAUGCCUUGGCUCUCGGAGGCGAUGAAGGACGUGAUAAGCUGCGAUAAGCUUUGGGGAGGUGCAAAUGACCUUUGAUCCAGAGAUUUCCGAAUGGGACAACCCAAUAUCUUGAAGAGGUAUUAUCCAACGUUGUUGGAGGCUAACGCAGGGAACUGAAACAUCUUAGUACCUGCAGGAAAAGAAAAUAAACAAUGAUUCCCCCAGUAGUGGCGAGCGAACGGGGAACAGCCCAAACCAUCCAUGUUACGGCAUGGGUGGGGUUGUAGGACUACGCCGUUGCAUGAAGACAUCAGAGAAGAACUUUCUGGAAAGAAAGACCAUAGAGCAUGACAGUUGCGUAUUCGAAUGUUGUCGAAGCAUAGUAGUAUCCUGAGUAGCGCGGAGCACGAGGAAUUCUGCGUGAAUCUGCCGGGACCAUCCGGUAAGGCUAAAUACUCCCGAGAGACCGAUAGCGAACCAGUACCGUGAGGGAAAGGUGAAAAGCACUUCGAACAGAAGAGUGAAAUAGUUCCUGAAACCGUGCGCCUACAAGCGGUCGGAGCUCGUUAAUGAGUGACGGCGUGCCUUUUGCAUAAUGAACCUACGAGUUGCCUUUGCCGGCAAGGUUAAGUGUGACGACACACGUAUCCGAAGCGAAAGCGAGUCUGAACAGGGCGUAUAGUCGGCAGUGGCAGACGCGAAACCAAGUGAUCUACCCUUGGCCAGGUUGAAGGCUGGGUAACACCAGCUGGAGGACCGCACCAAUAAGCGUUGAAAAGCUUCUGGAUGAGCUGAGGGUAGGGGUGAAAGGCUAAUCAAACUUGGAGAUAGCUCGUACUCCCCGAAAUGCAUUUAGGUGCAGCCUUGACUUAUACUGGCAUGAGGUAGAGCGACUGAUAAGAUGCGAGGGCUUCACCGCCUAUCAAGUCUUGACAAACUCCGAAUGCGCAUCAGUUCUACCGCAGGAGUGAGGGCAUGGGUGCUAAGGUCCGUGCCCGAGAGGAGAAGAAUCCGGACCACCUGCUAAGGUCCCGAAAUGACAGCUAAGUUAAACUAACGAAGUCUGACUGCUAAGACAGCUAGGAUGUUGGCUUGGAAGCAGCCAUUCAUUUAAAGAGUGCGUAACAGCUCACUAGUCGAGGAGUCGGGCGUGGAUAAUAAUCGGGUAUUAAGUUGUCUACCGAAGCAGUGGGAUCAUUAAUAUGAUCGGUAGGGGAGCAUUCCAGUCAGCGUCGAAGGCGUACCGUGAGGUAUUCUGGAGCGUCUGGAAAAGCAAAUGUAGGUAUAAGUAACGAUAAAGGGGGCGGGAAACCCCCUCGCCGAAAGACUAAGGUUUCCUGAUCAACGCUAAUCGGAUCAGGGUCAGUCGGGUCCUAAGGCUCAGCCGAACGGCGAUGCCGAUGGCAGAAACGGUUAAUAUUCCGUUACUACCUUCAGGAGUGACGUGGAGACGCAGUAGUGACAGUGCCGCCAUCUGACGGAAUAGAUGGUUGAAGGGUGUAGGAGUCGAUCAUGGCAGGCAAAUCCACCAUGAGAUCCGAACCUGACAGUAUGCCGCGUCCUUCGGGACAAGGCAAUAGUGCGCGUAAGCAUGCUGCCGAGAAAAUCCGCUAAACUUAAUCCUGCAGGUACCCGUACCGCAAACGGACACACGUAGUCGGGUUGAAUAUACUAAGGCGCUUGAGUGAUUCACGGUUAAGGAACUAGGCAAACUGACCCUGUAACUUCGGGAUAAAGGGUCCCUACCCUUUUAUGGGAGGGCGCAGAGAAUCGGUCCAGGCAACUGUUUAACAAAAACACAGGGCUGUGCCAAAUCGAAAGAUCCAGUAUACAGCCUGACACCUGCCCGGUGCUGGAAGGUUAAGAGGAGAUGUCAUCGAUAAGAGAAGCGUUGAAUUGAAGCCCCAGUAAACGGCGGCCGUAACUAUAACGGUCCUAAGGUAGCGAAAUUCCUUGUC
This 1962-nucleotide ribosomal RNA is filed under the name human gut metagenome. Its description in RNAcentral is "bacterial LSU rRNA". It matches the Rfam family "Bacterial large subunit ribosomal RNA", at positions 1 to 1973 of the family's 2925-position model. The record is from RNAcentral.